Molecule: ribosomal RNA, 447 nt
Filed under: uncultured bacterium
Lineage: Bacteria
Description: bacterial SSU rRNA
Rfam family: Bacterial small subunit ribosomal RNA
Source: RNAcentral
UAGGGAAUUUUGGGCAAUGGGGGAAACCCUGACCCAGCAACGCCGCGUGAAGGAUGAAGUAUUUCGGUAUGUAAACUUCGAAAGAAUAGGAAGAAUAAAUGACGGUACUAUUUAUAAGGUCCGGCUAACUACGUGCCAGCAGCCGCGGUAAUACGUAGGGACCAAGCGUUGUUCGGAUUUACUGGGCGUAAAGGGCGCGUAGGCGGCAUGACAAGUCACUUGUGAAAUCUCUGGGCUUAACCCAGAACGGCCAAGUGAUACUGUCGCGCUAGAGUGCAGAAGGGGCAAUCGGAAUUCUUGGUGUAGCGGUGAAAUGCGUAGAUAUCAAGAGGAACACCUGAGGUGAAGACGGGUUGCUGGGCUGACACUGACGCUGAGGCGCGAAAGCCAGGGGAGCAAACGGGAUUAGAUACCCCCGUAGUCCCUGAGCGGGCUGGCAAGGCGCAU